ACCGGCGUAAGGGGUAGUUAUGCAUGGGCAACCAACCCUCUGGAUGGGGAUAACCCCGGGAAACCGGGGCUAAUACCCAGCGAAGUUGAGUGGGGGCAUCUUCAUUCAAUCAAAGGUGUGAUUCCGCCAGAGGACGGGCUCAUGUGGUAUUAGCUAGUUGGUAGGGUAAUGGCCUACCAAGGCUACGAUGCCUAGGGGGUGUUGGCGCACGACCCCCACCACUGGGACUGAGACACUGCCCAGACACCUACGGGUGGCUGCAGUCGAGAAUCUUCGGCAAUGGGCGCAAGCCUGACCGAGCGACGCCGCGUGGAGGAUGAAGGCCUUCGGGUUGUAAACUCCUGUCAGAGGGGAGGAAAGUGAGGUGGGCUCUCCCAUCUCAUUGACCUAGCCUCAGAGGAAGGACGGGCUAAAUUCGUGCCAGCAGCCGCGGUAAUACGAAUCGUCCUAACGUUGUUCGGAUUCACUGGGUUUAAAGGGCGCGUAGGCGGUGCGUUAAGUCGGCGGUGAAAUACUUCGGCUCAACCGGAGAAUUGCCGCUGAAACUGGCGUGCUCGAGGAAGGUAGAGGUGUGUGGAACUUCCGGUGGAGCGGUGAAAUGCGUUGAUAUCGGAAGGAACACCUGUGGCGAAAGCGAUGCACUGGACCUUUUCUGACGCUGAGUGCGCGAAAGCUAGGGUAGCGAACGGGAUUAGAUACC
RNAcentral lists this ribosomal RNA (700 nucleotides) under uncultured bacterium. RNAcentral's name for it is "bacterial SSU rRNA". It matches the Rfam family "Bacterial small subunit ribosomal RNA", at positions 94 to 786 of the family's 1533-position model. The record is from RNAcentral.